GGAAGUCGGCUGCCGCGACCACUCGCUGGUAAGACCACCGUGCUAUCAUCUCCUGACAGCCCCUUGGAGGCCCGGCCCGCUCCCUCGCCCCGAAGCCUGGCGGGUCUGUCACGCGAGGGCCGAACCCGACUCGGCCGCUCCGAUGCCCACCCAUGACGACCAUCGGGAGACCGCAACCGACAGCACUCGCUUCGGAGAGGGUCUACGGCGAUCACAAGAAACAAGGGAACACACGGCCCGACCGCAGCCAGCUCACCCUGCAGGAGGCGUAUCUGCCGCCGCAGCUGCUCCUUUUCCUCCAUCUCCGGAGUCCGCGACGCCUAGCCAGACCCCCUCGACGUCAUCGCCGCGCGACUGGUCCCCGCAGGCGGGGAGGAGAGAACGCCGAACUUCACUAUGCGUGGACACGGGGUUGGAAGGCACCGUCGCCCCGGCAACCCUGGAAGGACGCAUGCGCAGAACGAGAAAAAUCCGUCAUCUUGAAGCGCCCGGAAGUGGCCCGCAAUCUGGCUUCUGCACCAAUUCCUGCGCAUCAUUUCCACCGCUGGGGGUUCCUCGGAAGACUUGGAGGAGAUAGGUUGCUAACAGUUUCCCCUAGACCCAGGAAUUCCUUUUAUCAAUUUAUUUGUUUGAGACAGGAUGUAUUUCUGGCUGGAGAGAAACAUAACUGGGGAACUCGCUAUGUAGACUAGGCUGGCCUCGAACUUACGGAAGUUCUCUUUCCUCUGCCUCCGGACCUGGAAUCAAAGGGAUGCCAUUUUAACGCCUUUGCUGCCGCAGCAGCACGAGAACAGCGAAAAGGAAUCGGAGGCAAUUUUUUUUUUCGGAUGAUUACAGGUGUUAAGAAAAUUCUUGAGGGCAUUUAGUAGGAAAGGCUGCAACCUCUAGAAAAUAC
RNAcentral lists this long non-coding RNA (895 nucleotides) under Mus musculus (house mouse). RNAcentral's name for it is "long non-coding RNA chr15:75841593-75842488". The record is from RNAcentral. Lineage: Eukaryota; Metazoa; Chordata; Mammalia; Rodentia; Muridae.